GGUUGAAGUUCAGGUAACACUGAAUGGAGGACCGAACCGACUUACGUUGAAAAGUGAGCGGAUGAACUGAGGGUAGCGGAGAAAUUCCAAUCGAACCUGGAGAUAGCUGGUUCUCUCCGAAAUAGCUUUAGGGCUAGCCUCAAGUGAUGAUUAUUGGAGGUAGAGCACUGUUUGGACGAGGGGCCCCUCUCGGGUUACCGAAUUCAGACAAACUCCGAAUGCCAAUUAAUUUAACUUGGGAGUCAGAACAUGGGUGAUAAGGUCCGUGUUCGAAAGGGAAACAGCCCAGACCACCAGCUAAGGUCCCAAAAUAUAUGUUAAGUGGAAAAGGAUGUGGCGUUGCCCAGACAACUAGGAUGUUGGCUUAGAAGCAGCCAUCAUUUAAAGAGUGCGUAAUAGCUCACUAGUCGAGUGACACUGCGCCGAAAAUGUACCGGGGCUAAACAUAUUACCGAAGCUGUGGAUUGUCCUUUGGACAAUGGUAGGAGAGCGUUCUAAGGGCGUUGAAGCAUGAUCGUAAGGACAUGUGGAGCGCUUAGAAGUGAGAAUGCCGGUGUGAGUAGCGAAAGACGGGUGAGAAUCCCGUCCACCGAUUGACUAAGGUUUCCAGAGGAAGGCUCGUCCGCUCUGGGUUAGUCGGGUCCUAAGCUGAGGCCGACAGGCGUAGGCGAUGGAUAACAGGUUGAUAUUCCUGUACCACCUAUAAUCGUUUUAAUCGAUGGGGGGACGCAGUAGGAUAGGCGAAGCGUGCGAUUGGAUUGCACGUCUAAGCAGUAAGGCUGAGUAUUAGGCAAAUCCGGUACUCGUUAAGGCUGAGCUGUGAUGGGGAGAAGACAUUGUGUCUUCGAGUCGUUGAUUUCACACUGCCGAGAAAAGCCUCUAGAUAGAAAAUAGGUGCCCGUACCGCAAACCGACACAGGUAGUCAAGAUGAGAAUUCUAAGGUGAGCGAGCGAACUCUCGUUAAGGAACUCGGCAAAAUGACCCCGUAACUUCGGGAGAAGGGGUGCUCUUUAGGGUUAACGCCCAGAAGAGCCGCAGUGAAUAGGCCCAAGCGACUGUUUAUCAAAAACACAGGUCUCUGCUAAACCGUAAGGUGAUGUAUAGGGGCUGACGCCUGCCCGGUGCUGGAAGGUUAAGAGGAGUGGUUAGCUUCUGCGAAGCUACGAAUCGAAGCCCCAGUAAACGGCGGCCGUAACUAUAACGGUCCUAAGGUAGCGAAAUUCCUUGUCGGGUAAGUUCCGACCCGCACGAAAGGCGUAACGAUUUGGGCACUGUCUCAACGAGAGACUCGGUGAAAUCAUAGUACCUGUGAAGAUGCAGGUUACCCGCGACAGGACGGAAAGACCCCGUGGAGCUUUACUGUAGCCUGAUAUUGAAAUUCGGCACAGCUUGUACAGGAUAGGUAGGAGCCUUUGAAACGUGAGCGCUAGCUUACGUGGAGGCGCUGGUGGGAUACUACCCUAGCUGUGUUGGCUUUCUAACCCGCACCACUUAUCGUGGUGGGAGACAGUGUCAGGCGGGCAGUUUGACUGGGGCGGUCGCCUCCUAAAAGGUAACGGAGGCGCUCAAAGGUUCCCUCAGAAUGGUUGGAAAUCAUUCAUAGAGUGUAAAGGCAUAAGGGAGCUUGACUGCGAGACCUACAAGUCGAGCAGGGUCGAAAGACGGACUUAGUGAUCCGGUGGUUCCGCAUGGAAGGGCCAUCGCUCAACGGAUAAAAGCUACCCCGGGGAUAACAGGCUUAUCUCCCCCAAGAGUUCACAUCGACGGGGAGGUUUGGCACCUCGAUGUCGGCUCAUCGCAUCCUGGGGCUGUAGUCGGUCCCAAGGGUUGGGCUGUUCGCCCAUUAAAGCGGUACGCGAGCUGGGUUCAGAACGUCGUGAGACAGUUCGGUCCCUAUCCGUCGUGGGCGUAGGAAAUUUGAGAGGAGCUGUCCUUAGUACGAGAGGACCGGGAUGGACAUACCUCUGGUGUACCAGUUGUCGUGCCAACGGCAUAGCUGGGUAGCUAUGUGUGGACGGGAUAAGUGCUGAAAGCAUCUAAGCAUGAAGCCCCCCUCAAGAUGAGAUUUCCCAACUUCGGUUAUAAGAUCCCUCAAAGAUGAUGAGGUUAAUAGGUUCGAGGUGGAAGCAUGGUGACAUGUGGAGCUGACGAAUACUAAUCGAUCGAAGACUUAAUCAA
RNAcentral lists this ribosomal RNA (2179 nucleotides) under Staphylococcus aureus. Its description in RNAcentral is "partial 23S ribosomal RNA". It matches the Rfam family "Bacterial large subunit ribosomal RNA", at positions 743 to 2925 of the family's 2925-position model. The record is from RNAcentral. Lineage: Bacteria; Bacillati; Bacillota; Bacilli; Caryophanales; Staphylococcaceae.